Molecule: ribosomal RNA, 477 nt
Filed under: uncultured organism
Description: partial 16S ribosomal RNA
Rfam family: Bacterial small subunit ribosomal RNA
Source: RNAcentral
UACACUCCUACGGGAGGCAGCAGUGGGGAAUUUUGGACAAUGGGCGAAAGCCUGAUCCAGCAAUGCCGCGUGCAGGAUGAAGGCCUUCGGGUUGUAAACUGCUUUUGUACGGAACGAAAAAGCUCCUUCUAAUACAGGGGGCCCAUGACGGUACCGUAAGAAUAAGCACCGGCUAACUACGUGCCAGCAGCCGCGGUAAUACGUAGGGUGCGAGCGUUAAUCGGAAUUACUGGGCGUAAAGCGUGCGCAGGCGGUUAUGUAAGACAGAUGUGAAAUCCCCGGGCUCAACCUGGGAACUGCAUUUGUGACUGCAUGGCUAGAGUACGGUAGAGGGGGAUGGAAUUCCGCGUGUAGCAGUGAAAUGCGUAGAUAUGCGGAGGAACACCGAUGGCGAAGGCAAUCCCCUGGACCUGUACUGACGCUCAUGCACGAAAGCGUGGGGAGCAAACAGGAUUAGAUACCCCAGUAGUCCCAUGA